CGGGGUGUGGCGCAGCCCGGUAGCGCACCUGCUUUGGGAGCAGGGGGCCGGAGGUUCAAAUCCUCUCACCCCGA
Non-coding RNA from Candidatus Rokubacteria bacterium 13_2_20CM_2_70_11, 74 nucleotides. Lineage: Bacteria; Candidatus Rokuibacteriota. The record is from Rfam.